CAGCAGUCGCCGCGGUAAAACGAGGGGGGCAAGCGUUGUUCGGAAUUAUUGGGCGUAAAGGGUGCGUAGGCGGCCCCGCAAGUCCUGUGUGAAAUCCACAAGCUCAACUUGUGGCCUGCACGGGAAACUGCUGGGCUGGAGUAUGGGAGAGGUGAGUGGAAUUCCUGGUGUAGCGGUGAAAUGCGUAGAUAUCAGGAGGAACACCUGUGGCGAAAGCGGCUCACUGGACCAUAACUGACGCUGAGGCACGAAAGCUAGGGGAGCAAACAGGAUUAGAUACCCCCGUAGUCCCUGUCUCUUAUAC
This 304-nucleotide ribosomal RNA is filed under the name uncultured bacterium. Its description in RNAcentral is "partial 16S ribosomal RNA". It matches the Rfam family "Bacterial small subunit ribosomal RNA", at positions 509 to 807 of the family's 1533-position model. The record is from RNAcentral.